Non-coding RNA from Schistosoma mattheei, 45 nucleotides. Lineage: Eukaryota; Metazoa; Platyhelminthes; Trematoda; Strigeidida; Schistosomatidae. The record is from Rfam.
AUCCAACUGGUGAGUCCCAAAUAGAACGAAUUGUGCGUCCUGGAU